Puntigrus tetrazona (Sumatra barb) is the source of this 471-nucleotide long non-coding RNA. RefSeq lists it as uncharacterized. The transcript has 3 exons. The record is from RefSeq and is a predicted model, not a curated record. NCBI's taxonomy places the organism in Eukaryota, Metazoa, Chordata, Actinopteri, Cypriniformes, Cyprinidae.
AGCUGGUCAGCGUGAGGAACAAGGAGGAGAACCUCCAGAUCCAGCAGCUGAUACCUGCAGGAGAUGUCGUAUACAUCGGGCUUUUCAAAGACGCUUUUGUCUGGUCCGAUAACAGCACGUCUUCAUUCAGAAACUGGAAUUUUGGUCAGCCGGACGGGUCAGGAGAGUGUGUGGUGAAGUUACGACAAAACAGACGGUGGGAUGAUCAGAGGUGCAUCGAAACCAGACCCUUCUUCUGCUACGAAAGAAUAGUGUUUAGGCAGAUAUUAAAACUGAAGGUGGAAUCAGAUCAGAACGUGAAUGAUCCCGAUAUUAAGGCAGCCAUCCUCGAGCAGAUUAAGCAGAAACUGAUAUCUCAGGGAAUUUCAGUGCAUGCAAAUCUGCAAUGGAAGCAGCAGGAGAAUGGAGACGUCUUCCAAUGAGAAGAGAAGACGAGCAAGGAGUUAUAAGAUCUUCAGAACCAAAGCUCUA